UCCUGGCGACCAUAGCUGUUUGGUACCACCUGAUACCUUUCCGAACUCAGUAGUGAAACAAACACGCGCUGAUGAUAGUGUGGGGUCUCCCC
This 92-nucleotide ribosomal RNA is filed under the name Legionella israelensis. The record is from RNAcentral. Lineage: Bacteria; Pseudomonadati; Pseudomonadota; Gammaproteobacteria; Legionellales; Legionellaceae.